GACCUAAACCAGCAAUGGCAUGGUCUAAAAUCCAUUUGACACAACAAGCUCGUCGCAGAGCACUGUGUCAAAUGGUCAUAGUCCGAAAGGAUUGUGGGUGGCUUCGGCUAUC
This 112-nucleotide small RNA is filed under the name unclassified sequences. RNAcentral's name for it is "LOOT RNA". It matches the Rfam family "LOOT RNA". Rfam says of the family: Latescibacteria, OD1/Parcubacteria, OP11, TM7. Lineage (Microgenomates, aka OP11) The record is from Rfam by way of RNAcentral.